Molecule: ribosomal RNA, 524 nt
Filed under: uncultured bacterium
Lineage: Bacteria
Description: bacterial SSU rRNA
Rfam family: Bacterial small subunit ribosomal RNA
Source: RNAcentral
UGGGGAAUAUUGGACAAUGGGCGCAAGCCUGAUCCAGCAAUGCCGCGUGAGUGAUGAAGGCCUUCGGGUUGUAGAGCUCUUUUGCCUGCGACGAUGAUGACGGUAGCAGGAGAAUAAGCCCCGGCUAACUUCGUGCCAGCAGCCGCGGUAAUACGAAGGGGGCUAGCGUUGUUCGGAAUUACUGGGCGUAAAGGGCGCGUAGGCGGCCCUGUCAGUCAAGCGUGAAAGCCCCGGGCUCAACCUGGGAAUUGCGCCUGAUACUGCAGGGCUUGAGGGUCGGAGAGGAUGGUGGAAUUCCCAGUGUAGAGGUGAAAUUCGUAGAUAUUGGGAAGAACACCGGUGGCGAAGGCGGCCAUCUGGACGACAUCUGACGCUGAGGCGCGAAAGCGUGGGGAGCAAACAGGAUUAGAUACCCUGGUAGUCCACGCUGUAAACGAUGAAUGCUAGACGUUGGGGUUCUUGGAACUUCAGUGUCGCCGCUAACGCAUUAAGCAUUCCGCCUGGGGAGUACGGUCGCAAGAUUA